Molecule: ribosomal RNA, 756 nt
Filed under: uncultured bacterium
Lineage: Bacteria
Description: bacterial SSU rRNA
Rfam family: Bacterial small subunit ribosomal RNA
Source: RNAcentral
AGAGUUUGAUCAUGGCUCAGAAUCAACGCUGGCGGCGCGCCUAACACAUGCAAGUCGAACGGGAAAGUGGAGCAAUCCAUGAGUAAAGUGGCGUACGGGUGAGUAACACGUGGAUCAUCUGCCCUUUAGUGGGGAAUACCGUUGGGAAACCGACGACAAUACCGCAUAAGCUCGAGAGAGGAAAGCAGAAAUGCGCUGAAGGAGGAGUCCGCGGUCGAUUAGCUCGUUGGUAGGGUAAUGGCCUACCAAGGCUGUGAUCGAUAGCCGGCCUGAGAGGGCACACGGCCACACUGGCACUGAAACACGGGCCAGACUCCUACGGGAGGCAGCAGUGGGGAAUCUUGCACAAUGGGGGAAACCCUGAUGCAGCGACGCCGCGUGAGCGAUGAAGCCCUUCGGGGUGUAAAGCUCUUUCGGCAGGGAAGAUUAUGACGGUACCUGCAGAAGCAGCUGCGGCUAACUACGUGCCAGCAGCCGCGGUAAUACGUAGGCAGCAAGCGUUGUUCGGAGUUACUGGGCGUAAAGGGUGCGUAGGCGGCUCUAUAAGUAUGGUGUGAAAUCUCCCGGCUUAACUGGGAGGGUGCGCUAUAGACUGUGGGGCUAGAGUGUGGGAGAGGAAAGUGGAAUUCCUGGUGUAGCGGUGAAAUGCGUAGAUAUCAGGAGGAACACCGGUGGUGUAAACGGCUUUCUGGACCAUAACUGACGCUGAGGCACGAAAGCGUGGGUAGCAAACAGGAUUAGAUACCCUAGUAGUCC